Molecule: long non-coding RNA, 640 nt
Organism: Podarcis raffonei (Aeolian wall lizard)
Lineage: Eukaryota; Metazoa; Chordata; Lepidosauria; Squamata; Lacertidae
Exons: 4
Source: RefSeq, a predicted model, not a curated record
UGGUGUGCAAGGGAGAAGUGUGGCUGGAGGGCAUGGAAGGGAGAGCAGGUUCGAUCGCGCCACGUUUUCGGGCAGCGAAGGAGGGUUCUGUAAGGAGAACGCCGGCAUUCUAAACAUCCUUACUAGGAAGCCCCAUGGAACCCAGUGCGGGGAUCAGUUCCGAAGGGACAUGUUUAGGACCACCGGAUUGUUGCAUCUUCAGUGGCCACUCCGUUCGAGACUCUUGCUAAAUGAUCGCGAUGUAGAACGCCGGGCAGUUUUUCAUGCUUAGGAAAGCCAUGCUCCUUUCGCGUCCCCGCCCAGUUUCCCCUUCUGGGAUGACAUUCCUCAUCUACAGACUCCCCAAGGGGCAGCUCUUCACGGAACUGUUGGCAAGAAUAGCCCGGUCAGGCAUCCAUCUCAAAGCCGGUAAUGACUUUGGGGUGUGGAACAUCACUUCUGAGCCUCCAGAUGCUGCUUAUCUAAGGAACACUGCACCUUUCUCUAGAGAGGAAAGGAAGUUUAAUUAAACUGCCCUAUCAAGAAGAACUGUAAUGAUGAAGCAUGAUUAAAGUGAUGUGGCAGAAACGGCAAACAGAACAGGAAGAAAAUAUACUGAAACAGAAGUCAAAGAGUGGAACAAAGAGAAAGAAAAUGGAAG